RNAcentral lists this long non-coding RNA (357 nucleotides) under Prunus persica (peach). Its description in RNAcentral is "long non-coding RNA (PPER_LNC005496)". Lineage: Eukaryota; Viridiplantae; Streptophyta; Magnoliopsida; Rosales; Rosaceae. The record is from RNAcentral.
UAUGCUAAAUUAAGAACUGAGAGAUGAAGAAAGAGAAAUACACAUUAUUAUAUAUAAUUUAUAGCGUUUAACGAAAAAAGAGAAAUACUGUACACAUGAUUGUAUACAACUUUAUGACUUCCAGAGGUAUUAGUGAACUAGCAUGUUCCGCAUCCAUUCUUAUGCAUUUGAAACCAAAACAAGAGUGAGAAAAAGAAGCUUACGUGUGGUAUGGUAUGUGACUAGAACGACCAAUAGUCUAAGAUUAUGUCCACUUUCUCUUCAACUAAGAAAUCAACGGCAUGUUUCUAUAUAUACACAAGUCUGCUACAAGAUCACACUUGCGGUCAGUCUCUUAUCCGCAUGCGCGACACUUCC